RNAcentral lists this unclassified non-coding RNA (2879 nucleotides) under Hevea brasiliensis (rubber tree). The record is from RNAcentral. Lineage: Eukaryota; Viridiplantae; Streptophyta; Magnoliopsida; Malpighiales; Euphorbiaceae.
GGAUUCUUGAGGUCAAAUUUUAUAAUCAAUCCAUAAACAUAGCACCAUGAACUUUAACAAAACCAUUGAACAUCACGGCCCUAUGAUUUAUGUCUCACCUGGAUUUGGCAAACCAUAUGAGUGAAGAGAUCAAGAAACAGACAUUCUUUACAUAAGCUGAUUCAUAACAGCAAACAUUCCAUAUCAUAUUAUACAAUCUUAGUUUAUACGAAUACAGCGUUGCUGAACAAACAACACAAAAACAGUGCUGAAUACACAAACAUGAAUGGGUACUACAAGGUGGCAAAACUAGGUUGACAACUCAAGCCUAGCUUGCUUAUUUAGGCUACUGCCUGAAUUCACUCAAGUACUAAUAAUAUUCAAUACUUCAUAUGCCACACUAACAUAUUUUAUGAGACAUUGCUGGUCUGCUCAUCAAAGCCAAACCUUUAGUCCUUUACUGCCGAACUAGGCAUUCUUGAUUUCCACUCACCAUGGCACAGUGAGAGCCCUUGUUAAUAGCAUCCACUUCCUCAAGAGAGUUGUUGGCAUUUGCAUCCUCAAGCAAGUCCUGAGCAUCGUUCUCACUGCCUUUAUCCCUGCAGGAAAUGGCUUCAAAGAUGAGAGCCUUCACUUCCUCAAAUCUUGCUUCAGAAAGAGAAACCUCAGCAAGCAGCCUCCAAGCAUUCUCCUCAGAUGCCUCCUCAUAGUCCUUCUUCCUCUUUAACACCAUAUGGCCACUGAUUUCCCACACAGCUGGGUUCACUUGGGUAUCAAGAAGUUCAGGACUCACUUCCCCAAGAGCUUGCUUCUCAGCGUAACACUGUGGCAAAAGAAAGAUGCGCUUUCCACAAUCAGAUAUGAGCACAUUGUAUGGUAUGUUGUUAUCUUGAAGAGAAAUGCAAGCAUCUGAGACGGUGUUGGAUAAGUCUUGCACUGUAUUGCCCCCCUCAAAUAGAAGACCUCUGACAGGGUAAUUCACUAGCUCAUAGAUUUUCACUCCACUGUCCAAAGUGGUUAUCUUCUUAGUGGGUGCCUUCUCAAUGGGAAAUUGCACAGCCAAGUAGUAAGCCUGUUCCAUGGAAAUGAUCAAAUUGAUAUUCCUAAAUAGUACAUAUCUCCAUCUAUCUAAAUAUGAUCAAAUUGUUUUUCCCCCCUAAUCAUCGAUACCCUACUUGUCAAGGAUAUUAUUCAAGUUCAUUUAAGUCGAUGCUAGGAGGGUGCAAACCUGGAAGUGAAGGUGGUUGAUGGUGGCAAAUGCACCCAAGCUGUUGUAACCCAAACGGAACCAUGGAUUCCCAGCUUCAAUGGCCAUGUAAAGAGCAAGCAAGAAGCUCUCACGGUCAAUCCUCUGUGGCAAACACUCCAGAAUACGAGGGAUCAAAAGCACAUGCCCAUACUCAAUAGGGCUAACCUGUAAUGUCAACGAAACAAAAGGCAUAAACCAACUUCCUACAAUCAUAAUGUCCAAAUAAAUAAAAGAACGUUAAUUGUCUAGUACGAGAGCCAUUAACCUACAUUAAUGGCAACCACACUUGGAGAAUUAUCAACAUCAAUUGGGGCACUUGGGAAGAACUGAACAUCACCAUCUUCACUCGAUUCAAACUGGAAAAGGACCUCUUCUUGGCCAACUUUAGUGAAGUUGAAUUUGUUCACAUCAAAGGGCUGAAGAACCUUGUCAACACGGAAUUCAGUUGGCCUCUUCUUUAAGUGGCGGCCCUCAUUCAGCUGGGCAAUGAAACCAUACUCUCCAGGAAUCACCUUGGUUUCACAGGCAGUAACAUCAUAACGAAAUAGCCCUCUCUGCAUACGGUCCUCCCACUCCCCAAGAAGCAGAGAGUCAAGGAAUGCAACAGGAGGCUCGUUGUUCUCAUUUCCAAGCACCUCCUUCUCGCUAACAAUCUUGUUCAGUUUCUUGAAAGCGUACAAAGGGAGCUUUGCCCCUUGAAUGCAACACUUCUGAAGGCAAUUUCGGCCACAGCCCCCACUCCGGCGAGCACCCUCUUCCGCCUCCUCUUUCUGGAAAUUCGACACAACAGUAGGAACCCUCUUGAUCCUUAACAUCAAGCUUUCACUCAUCUUUACUUAAAAUUCCCAACACAAUUAAAUCCCAAUAAACUUGCUUAAUCGAGAUCUAAUACUUCUAAAAGACUCUUAUUUGGCUUACAGCUUACAACUUAAUCUUAUGUAAAUAUAUCCUAAACCUAAUAGACAAAGGAAAGGAGGGAACCGCCACCAGCGAGAAAGAGGAGAUCGGAAGGGCUACCGCCUUCGGAAGGCAAAGCACCACGUCCACCGUGCGGCGAAGGGUUGCUCUCGAUCACACAACCCUUGCGUCGUACAGCCCGGACAUGUAUUAGAGGCCGAGUUACUCCGUAUAUAGCCGUGAUGUCUACAACUUGUCUACCCUGGGUAUUACCCCAAGAAACCUCUCUUUACAAAAACAAAACUCCACCCUUAACACCAAAACACCAAUAGUACACUUGGGUCCCUAAAAAGGAGAAAAAUAAGGCCUGAAACGAAGAAUUCCGGUCACUAAUCUCUGUUUUCUCAAAAAUCUGAUGUGGGUAUUAGAUUGCAGGAAGAAGGAAGGAAACUGGAGAUGUGGGUAUAGGCACAAUUGGAGUAAAAUUUGAGCGAUGGGAGAUGAGUGGAGGAGAGGAAGAGUUGUUAUAUAGAUAAGAGGAAGGUGGUAGUUGUGGCUGUAAUUGCCGUAAGGUGUGUCGUAAAGGUAGUGAUGCAAAUAUUGAAACUUGAAAAUGAUUUUAAGAGAGAGAGGGGGUGCAAUGUGUCGAGCCUUCUGGUUCGGCCGUUAAGCCCUAUAGGGUUGGCCGGAGAGGGACCACGAAGGACGUACCUAUGGGCACCCUCUUGCUUGGCCUUAUUCCCUCCAUUUUUUU